CCUGGAGACCCCGGGCCGCCCGCUGGUCCCCUCCACACUCUUUGCUUCGCCGCUGCAGCAAGGGGGACCCCUCCCGGCCUGUUUCCACAUGCAGGCUCCACGUGCUGGCGCAGGGGGCUUCGUUUGUCCUCGCAGGUGUCUCGGAAGCCAGCGGCUCCCCGCGAUAGACCUGGGACAGGCCCCAGGCAGUGCUUUUUACAAGAGGGAAAGAAGGGGCCGAGCCCGUCCCUCUAGGCGCUGGGACGCACAGGACACAGGCUGGGACACGGGCUGAGACACAGAAGAAUGGUAAACUUCAGAAUGAUGGCGGGCUUCAAGAGCUGGAGCCUUGAUUCGGAUCAGUGGGAAGGCAAUCCUCCAGAGAGGCACCCAAACCAAUAAAGAACGACUUC
This is a long non-coding RNA of Leopardus geoffroyi (Geoffroy's cat), 392 nucleotides long. RefSeq lists it as uncharacterized. The transcript is spliced from 2 exons. NCBI's taxonomy places the organism in Eukaryota, Metazoa, Chordata, Mammalia, Carnivora, Felidae. The record is from RefSeq and is a predicted model, not a curated record.